RNAcentral lists this long non-coding RNA (201 nucleotides) under Nicotiana benthamiana. RNAcentral describes it as "long non-coding RNA (NBEN_LNC005979)". Lineage: Eukaryota; Viridiplantae; Streptophyta; Magnoliopsida; Solanales; Solanaceae. The record is from RNAcentral.
GGAGUUUGUACUUAUGUACUCAAUGCACAAUUGUCCAUUUUGUACUCUUUCUUUAACAACCCGAAAUUUGACGUCCUUAUAUUUUGCUUUCGUCAAAUUGCUGUUGUUGUUAUUAGACUAAGUGGCAAAAUCGGAGUCGGUAUACCCGAUGAUCUCAAACUGGUCCGAACUCCGAUAUGUAAGCAUGUUAUCCUUUGUUCU